This is a non-coding RNA of Pelobates cultripes (western spadefoot toad), 274 nucleotides long. NCBI's taxonomy places the organism in Eukaryota, Metazoa, Chordata, Amphibia, Anura, Pelobatidae. The record is from the annotation of a GenBank genome assembly.
CUAAGUAUGAUUUAUAAUGUUAGGCCAUAAUAUGUGUAGCUGCGGGUCAAUGUUAGUUACACCUUGUUACAGUCAACAUGCUUUUAUGUCACUUGUUAGAAACACAUGAAAAACAAACAAAAAGAAAAACAUGACAAACAAAUAUCACUGUUUAAGGCAACGAUUAAGACAGUGUAGACAGCUUGUGUCACAGUAACUGCUAAAUUGAGUGCAACAAGGAAGUGGAAGGAUUACAUUCUAUUGCCAUGGAAACUGAAGACAUGUAUGAGGCUAC